RNAcentral lists this long non-coding RNA (1193 nucleotides) under Piliocolobus tephrosceles (Ugandan red Colobus). RNAcentral's name for it is "lncRNA (ENSPTEG00000000383.1)". Lineage: Eukaryota; Metazoa; Chordata; Mammalia; Primates; Cercopithecidae. The record is from RNAcentral.
UUGGAUGAAAAAUUGGAUGAAAAAUUGAAUGAAAAAUUGGAUGAAAAAUGUAAUGUACACGAAGAGAAGUGUUGGUGUUCCGAUAAAAAAAAACAACUUGAUUUAGAAGACGUUGACAAAACAAGUGAAUAUGUUUCAGAUAAUAAUAGUGACACUGACUAUUACAAUGGUAAUUCUGACGACAGCAACCAUAGUAAUACAUCUUAUAUGAAUGAAAAUACAGAUGUAAGUAGAAAGAAAGUUAAAAAAGCUGUGAUGUGUACCGACAUAAAAGAAGAAGUAGUGGAAGUGGUAUCAAACGGAAAUGAUCGUGCUAAUAAUAAUGACUCUGACUCUGAGUCCGAUUCAGUUUCUGAUUCGAGUGGUUGGAUAAAUCUGUAUAAUUACGACACAUUAAAUUUGAACGUGAACACUGAUAAACAAUUUGAUUGUGACAUUGCAUGUAUUACAACAGAUUAUGCUAUGCAGAAUGUUCUAUAUCAAAUUGGAUUGAAUGUGAUAACAAUAGAUGGGUAUGAAAUUAAUUCAGUAAAAAUGUGGGGAUACAUUUGUACAUCUUGUUAUUUUUUUAUGCGAACAAAUAAUUUAUUAUUUUGUCAGAAGUGUGGUAAUAAUAAUUUAAGAAAAGUAAAUGUAACUGUUGACAACGAAUCAAAAAAAUUAGUAGUUAAAAUACCAAAUUUUCGUAUUAACUGUAAAAAUACCAUUUUUAGUAUACCUAAAAAGAAUAGUAACUCAAAAACAAACUUUAAUGAAAAACUGAAAAUAUUCAGAGAGGACGAAUUGUUAAUCGGAGGUAGAAAACAAUACAUUAAACGUCAAAAAAAACUAUAUGACUUACAAAAAAAUGUUAAAGACCCAUUCAGAGAAGAAAACGCGUUUGAAUAUGUCAAUGAUUGGGCUUAUAGAACAACCUUAAAAAAUGGCAAGUUUGCCGUUUUAAAAAAUCCAAAGAUUAUUAUAGGUGGUAAAAAAAAUAUACACAGAAGGAAAAAAUAAGAAGGGUUUACGUGCGUGCGUAUGUAUAUACAUAUAUGGACUUUAUAUAUAUAUAUAUAUAUAUAUAUGAACGCAUGCGUAUAUUUAUUUAUUCACAUUUAUAUGUUCAAUUUUUUCCCUUUUUUUUAUUUUUAACAAUAACAAUUUUUCAAAAAACAUAUUCAAUAUUUUUUAAUUUAGAAAAAUUACACUAU